Long non-coding RNA from Esox lucius (northern pike), 380 nucleotides. RefSeq lists it as uncharacterized. The record is from RefSeq and is a predicted model, not a curated record. The transcript is spliced from 3 exons. NCBI's taxonomy places the organism in Eukaryota, Metazoa, Chordata, Actinopteri, Esociformes, Esocidae.
CAACAUUCUACUGGGUUUUUCUAUCACCAUUGUCAUUUUGUUGACAAUUAUGUGGAGGAAGUACCAUACUGCUCAGAAUUCAAGAGCUUCAAGGUUUGAAGGACCCAUUGGACAGAGCACCUCCAUCCAAAACACAGGCCAGAAGUCCCCUUACCGUGAGUGACGUUUUGAUGUGUGAUAGCAGAAGCCCUCCCCCUGACUAGAGCUUCUCUCUGUCACUCUAGGACUGGAUUCACAGGACACCAGCUCAGCAACUCGCCUGGAAACCAAAUGGAGACAUCCGGAAACGGAUUCCAGCUUCAACAGAGCAUGGAUGUGCCUACAGCAGCUCAUCAAAUCAGGGCACAACGGGAUGUACUACAAAGCUAAGAUGACACGUG